GAUGAACGCUAGCGGCAGGCUUAAUACAUGCAAGUCGUGGGGCAGCAGGUUUGUAGCAAUACAGAUGCUGGCGACCGGCAAACGGGUGCGGAACACGUACAGAACCUUCCUUUGAGCGGGGAAUAGCCCAGAGAAAUUUGGAUUAAUACCCCAUAGUAUAAUGAAGUGGCAUCACUUUAUUAUUAAAGAUUUAUCACACGAAGAUGGCUGUGCGGCUGAUUAGGUAGUUGGCGGGGUAAAGGCCCACCAAGCCUGCGAUCAGUAACUGGUGUGAGAGCGCGACCAGUCACACGGGCACUGAGACACGGGCCCGACUCCUACGGGAGGCAGCAGUAAGGAAUAUUGGUCAAAUGGAGGCAACUCUGAACCAGCCAUGCCGCGCGGAGGAUGAAGGUCCUCUGGAUUGUAAACUUCUUUUANAUGGGACGAAAAAAAGGCUUUUCUAAGUCGUCUGACGGUACCAUAUGAAUAAGCACCGGCCAACUCCGUGCCAG
This 494-nucleotide ribosomal RNA is filed under the name uncultured bacterium. RNAcentral's name for it is "bacterial SSU rRNA". It matches the Rfam family "Bacterial small subunit ribosomal RNA", at positions 28 to 511 of the family's 1533-position model. The record is from RNAcentral.